AUUUGGCAAAAGGUCGCAAAGUUCAAGGGGGCCGAAUACUUUCGCAAGGCACUGUAGCAUUACCUAGCUUGCUUUUGGCUGAAUGUAGUCACAUUAAGAGAAAUUCCAACGCAGCCUUGUUGGCAAAUAGGAACACUGGAAUGUGAGAUGUAAUCUACACCUCCAUUAGGAACACUGGAAUGUGAGAUGUAAUCUACACCUCCAUUAGGAACACUGGAAUGUGAGAUGUAAUCUACACCUCCAAUAGGAACACUGGAAUGUGAGAUGUAAUCUACACCUCCGUUAGGAACACUGGAAUGUGAGAUGUAAUCUACACCUCCGUUAGGAACACUGGAAUGUGAGAUGUAAUCUACACCUCCAUUAGGAACACUGGAAUGUGAGAUGUAAUCUACACCUCCAUUAGGAACACUGGAAUGUGAGAUGUAAUCUACACCUCCAUUAGGAACACUGGAAUGUGAGAUGUAUUCUACACCUCCAUUAGGAACACUGGAAUGUGAGAUGUAAUCUACACCUCCAUUAGGAACACUGUAAUGUGAGAUGUAAUCUACACCUCCAUUAGGAACACUGGAAUGUGAGAUGUAAUCUAAACAUCCAAUAGGAGGAUUGAAAUCCUCAUUAUUCUGUUUUUAACAAUUUUUGAUUUAAGCAUCAUUAUUUCUAUUAUAGCCAACACUUUCUCCUCCUGAACUCUUUCUGGCUUUGUGACAAUGAUCGUAAGAGCAGCUGCUCACCGAUUUCACAGUUCCAACUCAGUUCCACCAUCUCCAAAACAUCAGCUAUGCUGGUGUCGUCUGUCGCCGUUUUAAUGCCUGAUCUGAUUGAAUCUAGGCCUCAGUCUCCCAUUGACAUCAAUGCAUGACUAAGUGGAAAUUCAACUGAAGUGGAAGUCAGGAGUUGGCUCUUUAGACACGUUUUCUGAUUCAUUAGAGAUGUUCCUGUCUCCAAUACAAAGCUCUUUAUUUUUCGACUUCACUUACCCCCCCCGUUGUCAGUCGGAUGUUAUUUUUUCCUAUCUGUAAUUGGCAUCAGCACCCCCCCCAAAAAAAUCUACAUCCCAUUUUCUAAUGUUAAAAAUGGUGUACAAAUGUUUUUUUUUUCAUUGUAGUCAUUAAAGUGUACAGUUACGAUGUA
This is a long non-coding RNA of Oncorhynchus tshawytscha (Chinook salmon), 1131 nucleotides long. Lineage: Eukaryota; Metazoa; Chordata; Actinopteri; Salmoniformes; Salmonidae. The record is from Ensembl.